RNAcentral lists this unclassified non-coding RNA (453 nucleotides) under Hevea brasiliensis (rubber tree). Lineage: Eukaryota; Viridiplantae; Streptophyta; Magnoliopsida; Malpighiales; Euphorbiaceae. The record is from RNAcentral.
GAAGAGACUGGAUGGAAAUACAUACAUGGUGAUGUAUUUAGGUACCCGAAACACAAAUCUCUUUUUGCAGCCUGUCUUGGUUCUGGUACCCAACUGUUUACACUUACAGUGUUCAUUUUCAUACUUGCGCUUGUUGGAGUGUUUUAUCCAUACAACCGAGGGGCUUUAUUUACUGCACUAGUUGUAAUCUAUGCUCUCACAUCUGGGAUUGCUGGCUAUAUCGCAACUUCCUUUUACUGCCAGCUUGAGGGAACAAAUUGGGUUAGGAAUCUACUGUUGACGGGAUGCCUUUUCUGUGGGCCUUUGUUUCUUACAUUUUGCUUUUUAAAUACCGUUGCAAUUGCCUAUACAGCAACUGCUGCUCUUCCUUUUGGUACUAUUGUUGUAAUAGUCCUGAUAUGGACUCUUGUAACAUCGCCUUUGCUGGUGUUGGGUGGAAUUGCUGGUAAAAAC